This 505-nucleotide ribosomal RNA is filed under the name uncultured bacterium. RNAcentral describes it as "partial 16S ribosomal RNA". It matches the Rfam family "Bacterial small subunit ribosomal RNA", at positions 28 to 507 of the family's 1533-position model. The record is from RNAcentral.
GACGAACGCUGGCGGCGUGCCUAAUACAUGCAAGUAGAACGCACAGUUUAUACCGUAGCUUGCUACACCAUAGACUGUGAGUUGCGAACGGGUGAGUAACGCGUAGGUAACCUGCCUGGUAGCGGGGGAUAACUAUUGGAAACGAUAGCUAAUACCGCAUAAUAUUAAUUAUUGCAUGAUAAUUAAUUGAAAGGUGCAAUUGCACCACUACCAGAUGGACCUGCGAUGUAUUAGCUAGUAGGGGAGGUAACGGCUCACCUAGGCGACGAUUCAUAGCCGACCUGAGAGGGUGGUCGGCCCAACUGGGACUGAGACACGGCCCAGACUCCUACGGGAGGCCGCAGGAGGGAAUCUUCGGCAAUGGACGAAAGUCUGACCGAGCAACGCCGCGUGAGUGGAGAAGGUUUUCGGAUCGUAAAGCUCUGUUGUAAGGGAAGAACGGGUGUGAGAGUGGAAAGUUCACACUGUGACGGUAUCUUACCAGAAAGGGACGGCUAACUACGUG